GAUGAACGCUGACAGAAUGCUUAACACAUGCAAGUCAACUUGAACUUCGGUUUGGGUGGCGGACGGGUGAGUAACGCGUAAAGAACUUGCCUCACAGAUAGGGACAACAUUUGGAAACGAAUGCUAAUACCUGAUAUUAUGAUUUUAGGGCAUCCUAGGAUUAUGAAAGCUAUAUGCACUGUGAGAGAGCUUUGCGUCCCAUUAGCUAGUUGGAGAGGUAACGGCUCACCAAGGCGAUGAUGGGUAGCCGGCCUGAGAGGGUGAUCGGCCACAAGGGGACUGAGACACGGCCCUUACUCCUACGAGAGGCAGCAGUGGGGAAUAUUGGACAAUGGACCAAGAGUCUGAUCCAGCAAUUCUGUGUGCACGAUGAAGUUUUUCGGAAUGUAAAGUGCUUUCAGUUGGGAAGAAAAAAAUGACGGUACCAACAGAAGAAGUGACGGCUAAAUACGUGCCAGCAGCCGCGGUAAUACGUAUGUCACAAGCGUUAUCCGGAUUUAUUGGGCGUAAAGCGCGUCUAGGUGGUUAUGUAAGUCUGAUGUGAAAAUGCAGGGCUCAACUCUGUAUUGCGUUGGAAACUGUGUAACUAGAGUACUGGAGAGGUAAGCGGAACUACAAGUGUAGAGGUGAAAUUCGUAGAUAUUUGUAGGAAUGCCGAUGGGGAAGCCAGCUUACUGGACAGAUACUGACGCUGAAGCGCGAAAGCGUGGGUAGCAAACAGG
Molecule: ribosomal RNA, 722 nt
Filed under: uncultured Fusobacterium sp.
Lineage: Bacteria; Fusobacteriati; Fusobacteriota; Fusobacteriia; Fusobacteriales; Fusobacteriaceae
Description: bacterial SSU rRNA
Rfam family: Bacterial small subunit ribosomal RNA
Source: RNAcentral